RNAcentral lists this transfer RNA (70 nucleotides) under Sphaerodactylus townsendi. RNAcentral's name for it is "tRNA-Ala". The record is from RNAcentral. Lineage: Eukaryota; Metazoa; Chordata; Lepidosauria; Squamata; Sphaerodactylidae.
GACUGUGACUCAGUGGUAGAGCAUCUGCUUUGCGUGGAGAAGGUCCCAUGUUCCAUACUUGGGAUCUCCA